AUUGAACGCUGGCGGCAUGCCUUACACAUGCAAGUCGAACGGCAGCACGGAGCUUGCUCUGGUGGCGAGUGGCGAACGGGUGAGUAAUAUAUCGGAACGUACCCUGGAGUGGGGGAUAACGUAGCGAAAGUUACGCUAAUACCGCAUACGAUCUACGGAUGAAAGUGGGGGAUCGCAAGACCUCAUGCUCGUGGAGCGGCCGAUAUCUGAUUAGCUAGUUGGUAGGGUAAAAGCCUACCAAGGCAUCGAUCAGUAGCUGGUCUGAGAGGACGACCAGCCACACUGGAACUGAGACACGGUCCAGACUCCUACGGGAGGCAGCAGUGGGGAAUUUUGGACAAUGGGCGAAAGCCUGAUCCAGCAAUGCCGCGUGAGUGAAGAAGGCCUUCGGGUUGUAAAGCUCUUUUGUCAGGGAAGAAACGGUGAGAGCUAAUAUCUCUUGCUAAUGACGGUACCUGAAGAAUAAGCACCGGCUAACUACGUGCCAGCAGCCGCGGUAAUACGUAGGGUGCAAGCGUUAAUCGGAAUUACUGGGCGUAAAGCGUGCGCAGGCGGUUUUGUAAGUCUGAUGUGAAAUCCCCGGGCUCAACCUGGGAAUUGCAUUGGAGACUGCAAGGCUAGAAUCUGGCAGAGGGGGGUAGAAUUCCACGUGUAGCAGUGAAAUGCGUAGAUAUGUGGAGGAACACCGAUGGCGAAGGCAGCCCCCUGGGUCAAGAUUGACGCUCAUGCACGAAAGCGUGGGGAGCAAACAGGAUUAGAUACCCUGGUAGUCCACGCCCUAAACGAUGUCUACUAGUUGUCGGGUCUUAAUUGACUUGGUAACGCAGCUAACGCGUGAAGUAGACCGCCUGGGGAGUACGGUCGCAAGAUUAAAACUCAAAGGAAUUGACGGGGACCCGCACAAGCGGUGGAUGAUGUGGAUUAAUUCGAUGCAACGCGAAAAACCUUACCUACCCUUGACAUGGCUGGAAUCCCCGAGAGAUUGGGGAGUGCUCGAAAGAGAACCAGUACACAGGUGCUGCAUGGCUGUCGUCAGCUCGUGUCGUGAGAUGCUGGGUUAAGUCCCGCAACGAGCGCAACCCUUGUCAUUAGUUGCUACGAAAGGGCACUCUAAUGAGACUGCCGGUGACAAACCGGAGGAAGGUGGGGAUGACGUCAAGUCCUCAUGGCCCUUAUGGGUAGGGCUUCACACGUCAUACAAUGGUACAUACAGAGCGCCGCCAACCCGCGAGGGGGAGCUAAUCGCAGAAAGUGUAUCGUAGUCCGGAUUGUAGUCUGCAACUCGACUGCAUGAAGUUGGAAUCGCUAGUAAUCGCAGAUCAGCAUGUCGCGGUGAAUACGUUCCCGGGUCU
This 1352-nucleotide ribosomal RNA is filed under the name uncultured bacterium. RNAcentral describes it as "bacterial SSU rRNA". It matches the Rfam family "Bacterial small subunit ribosomal RNA", at positions 28 to 1381 of the family's 1533-position model. The record is from RNAcentral.